AAUAUACUUAGUAUACAUUUCGUUGAACAUUUUCAGGUAAACCUGGUGAAGGUACCCAGUACGAUGACUUGUUCAAUAGACAAGCCGAUGUCCUUGCUGCCAAUACCAGUUCCGAAUAUGAAGCCUACCGAGUCGAAUCUCAGCAAACAAACCAGUACGAGACACUCGCGGAAACUUCGUUUCAUGAAUAUUCGGUAUUAUCACCUGGCGGCAAACAGGAUUAUAGUGUUACGAACCGUGUAACUCAAGGUACUGAAACUGAUUGUGCAAGUUUGAAUCAGCAAAACGCGUAUGUAAAUGUGUAAUAAUCAGAAACAUACAUAUCGUUUCAUUUGGUAACUAGAAUGAUCACAUCAACAAUAUUUAUAGCGCAAAUUAAACUAUUCACAAAGUGAAAGUUGUUUGAUUAGAAUGUUUAAUGAUUGUAAGUAUGUGUAGAAUGUGCAUAGAAUUUAUACAGUCAAUAUUUGAAUUUAUAUUGUUUAACAUUUGUUUCUUAAUAUUGAAACAUAUAUAAAUCAAUUUACUUGACCAUAAGCAUAUACUUUCAACAAAUCAACGCUUGUUAUUAUCCAAACGUUUUCGUUGAUGUAUUAACUACUUUAUUCUUACAAAUAUGAAAAAAAAAUAAGUUUACGAUUUUAAGUGGAAUCUUUAACGAAACAAGUGAAUAUAACAGUAAAAGAAAAUUAAGUAUUUAAUUGCGUAUAGUUAACAUAAGUAUGACGAAAAUCCGUUACAAUAAUACGAGCGUUUACCAAUUAAAGGGAUGCAACUCAUAUAUAUUUAUACACUAAUGAUAUUGAUAUAGUUAAGCCAUUAUUUUCAUAAAACUAUAAGAAUUAACACGAACGAUAUGUCUUUCAUGAUCUACAGUAUUUCAAAGAUAUUACUACAUCUAUGGUUAAUUAAAUCAAUUUAACACCAUUUGAAUCAUAUCUUAAAUAUAAGAUCGUUCUUAGAGCAUUAUUAAUGCAUGUGUUUGUUAAACGUGUAAUGUGUAGAUAAUGUAAUGUGUUUUUACUCAUGUGCAUGUUCAGCAUAUACAAAAGUUGUUACACAAAUCAUGUAUAUAGUAUUUUUACGAGGGAGUAUUCCUUUAGUGAGAUAACCAGUUUCUAUCCAUUCACUACAGAUACAUAAAGUGAAACAAAAUUUAACGUUCAACGUGCAGUUAGUGUUUGGAAACUAUUCAAGCAUCAGUGACAAUGUUGCGAUGAAAACAUUUGAACCAUGUAAAAUAAUAUUAGUCCAAAUGUCAUUGUAUUCAUUUAAUGCUCAAUAUUUGUUUUGCAUGUUUUUGUAUGUAAUUUUGAAACAUGGUUUAACGAUUGAGUGUUUGAUCAUCUUUUGAACUCUUUGUCUUUAUGAACAUGUAUGUAUGUCAACAUCAGCAGCAUUAUGUUACUCUAUUAAGUCGUCCCGAACAUCUCAUGGGCAAUCACUUAAACCUUUGAUUGAAUAAUAUAAGACACCAAGACCAAUAUUUCGAUAAUUUAUUAGGUCAUCAACUGCGGAAGAUUAUUAUAUAAAAUACGCUGAAUAUGUAUUUUUUGGGGAUGACAUUGAGCCUCUUUUAUGCCUUAAACACGGGUAAGUGUUCGAGUUGGGCUCUUAUAUUCCAGCACUUGUAGUGUGUUAUGUUAAUGGUUUAAUGUUUUCAAAAUGUAAUUUUGUAUAACCAGAAUACAUAAAUAAAUGUUACGUUUGUCAUAUUAAGUAAGAAUGAAGUAUACGAAGAUUUAAAAAAAAUGUUACAGCUGUAUCAUCAUAUCAGUUUUAAUUCUGGGCUUAGUGUGAGGUUUGGGAUCCCUUUAUCGAGUUAAAAAACAACUUUAAUUAUGUUUUAAUGACACCUUAAAUCAAGACCAUUCCUUUUUUGCUAAUCAAUGUUAUGUUUCACGAUCAUUAUGCUUCCUUCUGGGAAACUGUAUAUGUUGUGUCUGUCAAUUAGUUAGUACGUCUUCACAAUAUCCGUUCAAUAUCUAAUGAACUAUUGUGUUUUGUUUUUGGGUUUCAAAGUGUUUAUUCUAUCAUAUGACAGUGGGGGCAGUUACAUAAAAAACAAUCAUUAUUCCAUUUAAGUAUUGUGAGUACGCUUUAUAACUAUACAUUUAGUACGCAUUA
Dreissena polymorpha is the source of this 2127-nucleotide long non-coding RNA. RefSeq lists it as uncharacterized. NCBI's taxonomy places the organism in Eukaryota, Metazoa, Mollusca, Bivalvia, Myida, Dreissenidae. The transcript is spliced from 3 exons. The record is from RefSeq and is a predicted model, not a curated record.